GGGAAAAUCAUUGAUGGACUUCUAGUGAUGAGGAAGAUUGAGAAUGUUCCCACAGGCCCCAACAAUAAGCCCAAACUGCCAGUGGUGAUCUCACAGUGUGGGGAAAUGUAAUCUAGACAAGACUGAACCAGGUCCUCUGCUGUUUUGGGGUGACAUUCUCCCUUGAGUCUGACAGGCUGGACUGGCCUCUUUGCUUCCCUGUCUCCACAGUGUGUGAUCCAGGACCUGGAAGUAUCAUAAAUCAGAACCAAUAAUCCUGUUUAAAUUUCGAACUGUAAAUAAAGGGUUUUUUUAAUGCAUGGA
This 303-nucleotide long non-coding RNA is filed under the name Rattus norvegicus (Norway rat). RNAcentral's name for it is "long non-coding RNA NONRATT023545". Lineage: Eukaryota; Metazoa; Chordata; Mammalia; Rodentia; Muridae. The record is from RNAcentral.